CGCCGCCUACGGGGGGCAGCAGUGGGGAAUAUUGCACAAUGGGCGAAAGCCUGAUGCAGCAACGCCGCGUGAAGGAGGAAGGGUUUCGGCUCGUAAACUUCUAUCAACAGGGACGAAAGAAAUGACGGUACCUGAAUAAGAAGCCCCGGCUAACUACGUGCCAGCAGCCGCGGUAAUACGUAGGGGGCAAGCGUUAUCCGGAUUUACUGGGGGUAAAGGGAGCGUAGACGGAAAGGCAAGUCAGAAGUGAAAGCCCAAGGCUCAACCAUGGGACUGCUUUU
This 281-nucleotide ribosomal RNA is filed under the name uncultured bacterium. RNAcentral describes it as "partial 16S ribosomal RNA". It matches the Rfam family "Bacterial small subunit ribosomal RNA", at positions 333 to 628 of the family's 1533-position model. The record is from RNAcentral.